RNAcentral lists this long non-coding RNA (5763 nucleotides) under Sus scrofa (pig). RNAcentral describes it as "lncRNA (ENSSSCG00025016809.1)". The record is from RNAcentral. Lineage: Eukaryota; Metazoa; Chordata; Mammalia; Artiodactyla; Suidae.
UUUUUAGGGCUGCACCCAUGGCAUAUGUAGGUUCCCAGGCUAGGGGUAGAAUUGGAGCUACAGCUGUCAGCCUACACCACAGCCACACAGGAUCCAAACUGCAUCUGAAACCUACACCACAGCUCAUGGCAACCCUGGAUCCUUAACCCACUGAGUGGUGCCAGGGAUGGAACCCGCGUCCUCACAGAUACUAGUCGGGUUUGCUAACUGCUGAACCACAAUGGGAACUCUUAUUUAGGAAUUUUUAAAAAUGUUUAUAACUUAAACUUGAAUAAUCACCAGUGGCUAGUGGCUAUCACAUUAGAUAGGGCAGCUCUUCAGGAAAUGUUGAAUGACUCUUGUAAGACAAUUAGAAGUUUCUCCAGAUUGGUGGUAGAUAAAUCAAAGAUACCUGCAGGGGGACAGUGGCAAAAACAUCCUCAACUACCUGUCCUUCCACUUUACAGAUUUAUCCACACCUGUACCAGCCUCUUCCUCCUGCCAUUCCUUCUCAGUGGGAAAGAAAUCUUCUCUUGCCUAAAGCUGACCCUUCCACUUUUACUUUGGAUUCCAUUCCUUCCCAUGUGCCAAUUUAAGAACCUCCUCUCUCAUUUAUCAUUAUCAAGUUUUCGGUCUCCACUGGAUCUUUCCCUUUUAGCAUAUAAACAUGUUCCCUCUCCUAUAUUCAAAACGAACCUUUCCUCAACCCUAUUAUGACCCUCUUGCUGCGAUCCAUCUUGCUCAAGCCUAACCAGAUCUCUUGAAACAGAGUUACUUUUGUCACUUCUGGUCUGUUGACUAAUUCCAGCUAUACCUGGCUGGAAUAGAGGUGGCGGAAAUCAGAAGAGGUGACCAAGGGGUGCAUGAACUUGACGGAAAUGUUUGAUACAAGUGUGCUGGAUAGAAGAACAUUUAUUGGAUGUUUACACUUUUUGUACAUACUAAGUAGUAUUUGAUGAAUUGUUUAAAUUCCUAAGGAAAGAUCUUUUUAUGCAAAGACCAUCUAACACUGUUCUUAGCACUGUCGUUCCUCACCCAAAGCCACCCUGUAAUCAUGUUACAGACCAAAACGCCACUAGAACAGAAAGGGUCACCAGCCAAAGGAAAUCUUAUCCUCAAGUGGUAUCUGAUAGAACAAAACUUCAGAACAAGGAAAGAUUUGGGAAUCCACCAGGAUUGGUCUCCGAUGCUUUAACGGGACCCUUGGAGCAUUCCUUUCUGGAGUGCCUUUGUUUUAUGUGCAUUACAUAACUGCCCUCGUCUGACCCGUGUCUGAAAGGGGAAAGCAGCUUUGGCACCUGCAGCCAUUUCCUAAGAGGGCUCCAAAGCCCGCUCCGAAAAUAAUCCACCACUGUGAGGUGGACACCUGAGCUAUGCUGAGGCUCAGACAGAGACCAAAGGUGAUGAUCUCUGCAAUCACAUCACCUUUCUUCUCUACUCAACCCCCUGGGGACUCAGGGCUGCCAACAGGACAGUGACAAGUGUUCAAUUCGAGCACAACCUAAAAGGCCCCUUUAUGAACAAUUCAUGUAAGAUGCUGCCAAGUCAACACCCUUAGAACCAGGUUCACUCAGCUUUCUGAACUGCUUUCACUGGGUAGGUCUUGUGCUUUAGCACAAAGAAAGGGAGGACAUGAAACUAUCUGCAGUAGCACAGUUUCAAAAAAAUAUGAAAGUCAGCACACCUGGAAGGCAGUGAGACAUCAAAUGACAGCUCUCAUGGCUGGCUCUGGCUCUCCCAGCGUGAUGUCACAUGGCAGGUCACCCCAAUGCACUUCAUAGGCAUCACUGAGCUGGUGUUCUCAGCAGCUACACACCUGCUUCUGGCUGAGGGCUGGCAAGUGUGGUCAGGACUAGUAAGCAACAACAAAAGAAAAGGAUUCCUAGGAUCCCUGCUUGUGCAUGGCCUUUUUUUCUGACCCUCUACUGAGCACAGCGACUGAGAUUUUUUACAGACCACAGUCAAAAACUUUUUAGGAGAAGCCCUCACUUGGGCAAAGCAGAAGGUUUGUGAAAAAGCAUUUCUCCAUUUACUGAAUGCAGAAAAAUGGCAUGUAUAACAUUGAACUAAAGGCUUCAAUACCUAAUGCAAGGCUUAAAAGCUGAAGUACUGAUUGGGGCUUACCAGCACUGAGAAAACACCCCUAAAAGACCUCAGGAGGAGGGUUGAAGCAGGGCAGGUUUGAAAGAUGGCUUUUUGUUGUUAUUGUUUUAAAUUAUUAAAGUAUAGUUGAUUUACAAUGUCGGGCCAAUUUCUGCUGUACAGCAAAGUGACCCAAACAUCUAUAUACAUACAUACCUUUAUCAUAUUUCAUCGUGGUCUAUCCCAAGAGACUGGAUCUAGUUCCCUGUGCUGUAUACCAGGACCUCAUCACUUAUUCUUUCUAAAUAUAAUAUUCUUAGUCACAAGUCUGUGCCCAUCUUUGAAUGGGUCAAUAGUGAUUGGGGCAAAUCAAGAUCUUAAUCCUCUGGUAGAAGCACUGGUUCUUCAUGGCUCCCAACCCUCCCCUUCCAGCCAGCAAAGUGAUGGCUGCUUAGGACGACAUGCUCUGGAGAGGACCCCAACCUCUGGCCAUCUUCAGGGCAGAACAGCAAGAGCAACUCCAGGGCUGUAAGUGAGAGGCACGGUGCCACCCAGCUGCCCUCCGGGGUGCUCAGAGGAUGGGAGCAUCUGGGCAGAGCUGCUGCCAAUUCCCUUCUUCCCUGGAAGGUAGAAACUUUCCGGACAGCUGGCUUCACCCAAACAAUGAAUGUUUAUGGGGCUUUAUUAUUUGCCAGGCACUGGGUUGAAACGCUGCACAAACUGAGACUUGGACAGCCUAAGUAAGUUUGCCAAGUUCAUGUGGUCAGGAAAUAAGCAAUGGAGCCAAGAUGAGACCCGCGGUAUCCUGAAGCCUAUGUGUAUGCUGUGCUAGGGGAACCACCUGAGGUAGAUGGCUCCUAAAACAGGGGUCAGCUUUUCCUCUUUCAUUCUUUUUUUUAAACAUAUCUACGAGAUGGCUGGCUGGAACCAAAAUGUGGGGAAGAGAAAGAAGUCCUGCUCUGGUGAAGGAGAUGAGACUUAAAGAAUUAGAGACCAUGACGAAAGGGUAUAUAAUCAAGGGCUAAAUUGCAGGGUAUGGACUUUAAACCCUAAAGGAACUCAGAGCAGACAGACCUCAAGGAAACUCCCUGAUCUGGGGCUUGAGAUGGGGAUGAGGGGCACGGAAGGUCAAAGAUAUGCACUUAAGGGGCCAGGACAGCAGGGGAGCCAGGAGGCAUGUGUGGGCCCGCACGUGUGUGAGGACAGCUACACAGCCAGAUAGUAGGGCACAGGGAUCCUCUGUCACCAUUGAAGCAAUGUCAAAAUGGGAAGUUCCCGUUGUGGCUCAGCAGUUAACAAACCCAACUAGCAUCCAUGAGAACGCGAGUUUGAUCCCUGGCCUUGCUCAGUUAGUUAAGGAUCCGGUGUUGCUGUGAGCUGUGGUGUAGUUCUUAGAUGCGUUUUGGAUCCCGCAUUGCUGUGGCACAUAGGCCGGCAGCUACAGCUCCGAUUGGACCCCUAGCCUGGGAACCUCCAAAUCCCGCAAGUACGGCCCAAAAACCCCCAAAAAAAAAAAAAAAAAGUCAAAAUGUAAACUGUAGUAAAGUGUAUUUUCUGUCAGUGUGUCUUAUACUUUUGAGGGCUUUCUCAGAAGAGUCAAAUUACCUUUGAACUUUUAUAUUAAUGUUUAAAAUAUUCAACGUAUUAAGAGUUUACAAAUCCAAAUCCUUCAAGGAGUUCAAUGUGCAAAUCCAUAUGAGCACAUUUCCACAUUUUUAAGGGAGACUUGACAAAUUAUACUAAAUGUUUUAAACUGCAUUCAGAAAUUUUAAACGAUCUAUUCGCCUUAGAGUACUUCAACACCUAACCACUUAGCUCUCAGAAUUUUGAAGUAUCAUUAUGGUUGGUUCUCAAGGUCUCAUUGUUCCCAUACUUGUAAACAUUAAGUCCAAACCUCUUACUCAAUUACCUAUUUUAAAUUUAAACUCAAGGAUGUUUCUCACGGGCAACAUUUUUAUUAAUUGUAAGUGUUAAUAUUUAAAAUAACAGAUGUACACAGAUUAGUCUUUAACCAAAAAAAUGUUUGAUUUAGUUUAUUUUUCUUAACUUAGUUUUCACUUAAAAUUUCAAACACACUUAAUCCACUAAAGAAACAAUCAGCUUUCCCGAAUAAUGUGGGUUGCCUUCCUCAACUAAGUGAAUUUUAGGGGAUUUUUUUUAAUUGGCUGGGCCUGCACAUUGACCAGAUAUGGAGCAGCAGGCAGCCAGGGUGAGUUUUUCGAUACCCUUUGUUAUGAUUAUGUCAACACAAUCCAGAAUAAAAAUGGUCUUGGCCCUAGCACUUCCACACAGGUGACUAAUUUCUCAAUCCUGAGGAGUCUGAACACAGGAAUUGUAGCUAGCCUCCUUUGAGCUUUGUUGGAGUUUCAUCUCUCUGGCUCUUAAAUCCAUCUCUCUCAAGGCUUUGGUGACCUCUGGUUACAGUGCUAAAGCUAAGCAGUCUCCCAACUACGAUUUGGAAUAAAAUGGGGUGAGAGUGUCCCAUCUACAUAUGCCUCAGGAUUAACUUCAGGUCAAAUGUUAAAAUGUGAGAAAGAACAUGUCCCAAUCACAACUCUACGCUCCUCUAUGCCUCCAUCUCAAAGCCAAGUGCAUUCCAGAUCUUAGUCAAUGACACAUGCAGAUGUCCAAGCCAGAGACCCACAUCUUCUGUGAUUCCUUCCUUGCCUCCCACCCCAACCAGUUAUAAACGCUAAACAACCAUGAGUCCAAUUUCCUUUGCCCUUCUCCACUUGCCCUAUGACAGAGACCAGAACCUUAUCAUGUCCUGAUUGGAAGACACUCACAGCUCGGCAUCCUACCCAGUCCCCCCGUACACAUCCUCCCCUGCAAGGUAACCUCUGGACCACGUGAUUCUGAUGCUAUCAACCCCAGAGCUGGAACAGUUUCCUAUGAUCCACAGAGUCAGCCCUUAGGACUGAUAAGGCUGUUCAAAGCUUUACUGCCAGCUUCGUUCCCUGAUGUUACAUUCAUCAUCCGUGCUCUGCUCUUCUGCCCACCCAAUUCCUCCUGAAUAGAACAGCCUUCAUUCUGUCCAUUCAGAUGCCAUUCCUCAUUCCAAGGUCAUUUCCAAUAUCCUCUGCACAGGUCAAGCCUUUCCUGAUCAGCUGUUAGAAAAAAAAAAAAAGGUCAACUCUUACUCUUAUGAGUUUUCAGGGCAUGUUAUAUAAUCUUGACUGUCUUAAGCUACAUUUUCAGUUUAUUUCCUAAAGAGGUUGUAAACGGAGGGCCAGGAGCUGGUUUAUUCUUUAUCAACACAAUACUUGGCGUGUUGUUUAAUUAACCUGCUGCCUUGUUCCAUAAAGUAUAUGAGGUUAUUCUUGGCACAAAGUAGGUGCUAAAAAAUAUCCUCCCGCAUCCCACAAGGACAGCAGCUUAAAAGGCAAGACCCAGGUAGGAACUUCAUUUUGUUCACGGACACAGCUAGAUCAGUGCACACAAUAAGCACUCAAUAUUUGGAGAAGAAGAAAGGGAACGAGAAAGAUGUAGGCAAACAAGUGCCUUUAGAAGAAAAAGGAUGCUUUCCAAGGGGACUAUUAUUAGACUAGAAAAGAUUAAACAAGGCUACGACCAUGACCACAUCAAGAUCAAAAGAAACUCUAAAGGAGUCACCAAAGCCAGAACAACUGAGCCCCUGCUGUGCUCCAGUAACAAGGUACAGAUCUCAUGAAUGGUGGCCUGGCCUCUUGGCUGGCACGCACC